RNAcentral lists this long non-coding RNA (660 nucleotides) under Olea europaea (common olive). Its description in RNAcentral is "long non-coding RNA (OEUR_LNC013413)". Lineage: Eukaryota; Viridiplantae; Streptophyta; Magnoliopsida; Lamiales; Oleaceae. The record is from RNAcentral.
AUAAAUUCGAUAAAGUCAUUCUGACCUUUUUGUGGCCAUCAAAGCUCUGAUAACUGCACUAAACAAUUGGAUUAGGGCUACCAACUGUUUCAUUUAAGCUACCGUUGGAUAAACAGAUAAAUUGUUAUGCAGAAAACAAAUAUGAUAUGCGAACAUUUUAUCUGGAAUGAAAGAGACCACCUUAAACAUCUUAAAGCACAAGAGUUGCAAAAACGAGAUACCCAACACUUUUUAGAGUGUCCAAGUACAAAAGUGGGAAGCUAAACUUUUUGAAGCGCUUAUGGACAUUCUCCACGUCCCUCCUAAGGAACUGUAUUUUUGAUUGUGGAUUUGCUCCAGAGGGAUCUGAUUUUAAGUUGAAGAAACACUGAUGAAAGCAGUCGAGCUGUAAGUUUGUCAAGCCCUACAUCUUCCAAGCUGUAGCAUUCCCCUGUCCAAUGACUCUGUUGGCUAUAGUAGCACUUUCUGCAAGGGUAUUGCUGAUAAGUCUCAAGCUAAAAGGUAAAUGUUUCACGAUAAAUCCAAGAGUCCAAACAAAACAUGCUACAAAUUUCCAGCUAAGUUAUAAGGUGCCUAACAGGAUUAGUUUUCAAAUAUCAAAAGAAUUAAUUUUCUCUAAUAAUGUGCAUGGCCCAAGGAUCCCUUCGAUUUUUUAAUGCC